AAAAAAGGCAAACCCUAGUUUCCGUGUCCAACGUUUGACUGUCCUAAAUUUUUUUAUAAUUAGUAUUUUUAUUGUUGUUAGAUGAUAAACAUGAUUAAUAUUUUAUACGUGACUUGUCUUUUUAAUUUUUUUCAUAAUUUUUUCAAAUAAGGCGGGCGGUCAAACGUUGGACACGAAAACCCAAGGUUUGUCUUCUU
Oryza glumipatula is the source of this 197-nucleotide non-coding RNA. Lineage: Eukaryota; Viridiplantae; Streptophyta; Magnoliopsida; Poales; Poaceae. The record is from Rfam.